This 564-nucleotide ribosomal RNA is filed under the name Kocuria sp. CH2_E. RNAcentral describes it as "bacterial SSU rRNA". It matches the Rfam family "Bacterial small subunit ribosomal RNA", at positions 57 to 632 of the family's 1533-position model. Lineage: Bacteria; Bacillati; Actinomycetota; Actinomycetes; Micrococcales; Micrococcaceae. The record is from RNAcentral.
GCAAGUCGAACGAUGAUGCCCAGCUUGCUGGGUGGAUUAGUGGCGAACGGGUGAGUAAUACGUGAGUAACCUGCCCUUGACUCUGGGAUAAGCCUGGGAAACUGGGUCUAAUACUGGAUACUACCGUCCAUCGCAUGGUGGGUGGUGGAAAGGGUUUUACUGGUUUUGGAUGGGCUCACGGCCUAUCAGCUUGUUGGUGGGGUAAUGGCUCACCAAGGCGACGACGGGUAGCCGGCCUGAGAGGGUGACCGGCCACACUGGGACUGAGACACGGCCCAGACUCCUACGGGAGGCAGCAGUGGGGAAUAUUGCACAAUGGGCGGAAGCCUGAUGCAGCGACGCCGCGUGAGGGAUGACGGCCUUCGGGUUGUAAACCUCUUUCAGUAGGGAAGAAGCGAGAGUGACGGUACCUGCAGAAGAAGCGCCGGCUAACUACGUGCCAGCAGCCGCGGUAAUACGUAGGGCGCAAGCGUUGUCCGGAAUUAUUGGGCGUAAAGAGCUCGUAGGCGGUUUGUCGCGUCUGCUGUGAAAGCCCGGGGCUCAACCCCGGGUCUGCAGUGGGUA